RNAcentral lists this transfer RNA (78 nucleotides) under Stygiobacter sp. GWC2_38_9. RNAcentral's name for it is "Ignavibacteria bacterium GWC2_38_9 tRNA-Pro". It matches the Rfam family "tRNA". Rfam says of the family: Transfer RNA (tRNA) molecules are approximately 80 nucleotides in length. Their secondary structure includes four short double-helical elements and three loops (D, anti-codon, and T loops). RNAcentral also lists the same sequence under 9 other names. The record is from RNAcentral. Lineage: Bacteria; Pseudomonadati; Ignavibacteriota; Ignavibacteria; Ignavibacteriales; Melioribacteraceae.
CGGGGUGUAGCGCAGCCCGGUUAGCGCGCUUCGUUCGGGACGAAGAGGUCGGGAGUUCGAAUCUCCCCACCCCGACAA